This 253-nucleotide ribosomal RNA is filed under the name uncultured Endozoicomonas sp. RNAcentral's name for it is "partial 16S ribosomal RNA". It matches the Rfam family "Bacterial small subunit ribosomal RNA", at positions 524 to 776 of the family's 1533-position model. Lineage: Bacteria; Pseudomonadati; Pseudomonadota; Gammaproteobacteria; Oceanospirillales; Endozoicomonadaceae. The record is from RNAcentral.
UACGGAGGGUGCAAGCGUUAAUCGGAAUUACUGGGCGUAAAGCGUGCGUAGGCGGCUACUUAAGUGGGAUGUGAAAGCCCCGGGCUCAACCUGGGAACUGCACCCCAAACUGGGUAGCUAGAGUACGAGAGAGGAGUGUGGAAUUUCCUGUGUAGCGGUGAAAUGCGUAGAUAUAGGAAGGAACACCAGUGGCGAAGGCGACACUCUGGCUUGAUACUGACGCUGAGGUACGAAAGCGUGGGGAGCAAACAGG